CUGGCACCACUGUCUUCCCCAGGCUCAUCUCCUUCAACAUAUUUUGUGCUUUAACCACAGAUAACUGUUUGGAACCUGUCUCUGUAUGCCCGCAUAUCCCAUCCUUUCCAAAUGGGAUGACCUUUCUCUCUUUUUGCACCAGGAAAACUCGUCCUCAAAAAUCAGAAAGAAAUUUUCCUUCACCAUAAUGCCUGAUGACUCAGAGGACUUUUUUCAUGCCCUGAAAUAAUCUAUUGAGAUUGACCCUGUGAAGGAUGUAUUAUUAAACACGCUGUUCAGAAAAGGACACCAAAGCUCAGAGAAGGUCUUUGAGAACCAAAAUGUGAGACUGCAGGGGAAACUAUGUCUUCAUUCACCUAGGGAUCACAUUGGAACCUGUGAACGACAAGACAUUUGACCAUCAACCCACCAUUUCCACACAGAAGUGUCAGAGUUGAGAGUGAGCUGGGUGUACAAGAAGCAGCUGCAAGGCAUCAGGGAAGUCCCUGAAGCGGGAUAAAGACCCUAGAGAAGCCAGUAUUAGAAGAUGAAGUGGCAUCCCAAAGAAAGAAAAAGAUAAACCAUCAGAGGAGAUAGGGAUUGGAAUAGAAUAAAAGAUAGAGAACUUCCUUCUCCAAGAGUUCUGUUUGCGUAAGUCAACAACAACAAAAAGAGGGUUGGGGGCGGAAAUGAUGUCAAGAUAAAUGAACCAUGAAACCCAAUUUAUAAAAGAGCUACCCAGAAUUGCAGCAAAUGCACGGAUACUCCCAUCUCAAAUGCACACCUACAACAUGAGCUAUGAAACCCAGUUUAUAAAAGAGCUACCCUGAAUUGCAGCGAAUGUAGGGAUACUCCCAUCUCAAAUGCACCCCUGCAGUGACAUCUGUCAGGAGCCUAUGGAGACAGCUGCCUCACCCAGAAGGCCUCUUGCAUUUUUAUUUUUGCAAAUAUUCAGCAGGGAUGGAGGGGACUGCAUCUGCUCUCUCCACUUUCUUCCUGGAGAGAGGAGGACAUGAAGGAGAACAGAAGGCAAGGACAAUACAUUCCACUCACAUUUCUAAGAAUUCCAUGACCGGAAGCUGCCACAAAAAUAAUGCAAAAGUCUGUCACCAAUCACAGAUGCAAGGCCUCACAGAAAGCUCACUUGAGCUGAGAGGUGAAGUUGUUCCCUGCAGAUGCUCACAUGAAAAUGAGAUAAAUAGUGAACUCUUUGAAGAUGCACUGGCAAGAUUUCCUCGACAAGGCAGAAAUGAGAAACAUGACACAGAAGCCUUUAAGGGUGACCUCAGAGGAAAACAGAAGUUGCUGGAUGAUACAGAAGCAGAAAAGGGAAAACCAGAGCUCCGAGGCACCGCGUGUCAACCACCAGAUGGAUUAGCUCUGCUGAUCAACCGAUCAUGGAGUGUGGAGCCAGAAGCAGAAA
Molecule: long non-coding RNA, 1402 nt
Organism: Homo sapiens (human)
Lineage: Eukaryota; Metazoa; Chordata; Mammalia; Primates; Hominidae
Exons: 6
Source: RefSeq, a predicted model, not a curated record